AUUGAACGCUGGCGGCAUGCUUUACACAUGCAAGUCGAACGGCAGCACGGGUGCUUGCACCUGGUGGCGAGUGGCGAACGGGUGAGUAAUGCAUCGGAACGUGCCUAUUAGUGGGGGAUAACGCUUCGAAAGGAGUGCUAAUACCGCAUAAUCUCUGAGGAGGAAAGCGGGGGACCUUAGGGCCUCGCGCUGAUAGAGCGGCCGAUGUCGGAUUAGCUAGUUGGUGAGGUAAAGGCUCACCAAGGCGACGAUCCGUAGCGGGUCUGAGAGGAUGAUCCGCCACACUGGGACUGAGACACGGCCCAGACUCCUACGGGAGGCAGCAGUGGGGAAUUUUGGACAAUGGGGGCAACCCUGAUCCAGCCAUGCCGCGUGAGUGAAGAAGGCCUCGGUUGUAAGACUCUUCGGUCCGGGAAAAGUACGACAUACAGUUAAUACCUAGGUGUGGAGUGAUGGUACCGGAAGUAAGAAGACACCGGCCUAACUACGUG
Molecule: ribosomal RNA, 491 nt
Filed under: uncultured bacterium
Lineage: Bacteria
Description: bacterial SSU rRNA
Rfam family: Bacterial small subunit ribosomal RNA
Source: RNAcentral